Molecule: transfer RNA, 58 nt
Filed under: Zootermopsis nevadensis
Lineage: Eukaryota; Metazoa; Arthropoda; Insecta; Blattodea; Termopsidae
Rfam family: tRNA
About the family: Transfer RNA (tRNA) molecules are approximately 80 nucleotides in length. Their secondary structure includes four short double-helical elements and three loops (D, anti-codon, and T loops).
Source: Rfam by way of RNAcentral
UGGUCUAGCGGUUAGAACGCUGGCCUUGUAAUCCUGGGGUCCCGGGUUCAAUUCCCGG